Non-coding RNA from Alosa alosa (allis shad), 864 nucleotides. The record is from the annotation of a RefSeq genome assembly. Lineage: Eukaryota; Metazoa; Chordata; Actinopteri; Clupeiformes; Clupeidae.
CAGACAAACAUAGCCAACAUGCAGGUCCAUUAAUCACUCACUAUAACAGAUCAUACCAGUUAGCACUAUGACAAUUCAGUUCACCAAUUCAAAGUACAUGCCAGAAUCUUGGUAUUUCAUUGUUGUAUACACAAUGAUAUCAUGUCAGACAUAAACAGAAUGUGCAGCAUUAAUGAUUAAUAAUUGUUUGGACCAAACCAACUUGUUGACAUUUUUUAAUCUAUCAGUUUUUCUCAUAUUUACUUUUUAAGUGUGUUGAUGUUGGAAUAACAUUGCAGAUGAACCAAGUAUGAACAUUGAGGGAGAUGACAAAGGACCUUUUGUUCCCAGUAGGUGGAGCUUAAGAGUCUUCAGCAACAGAAUGUCAAUAGAAAAAUGCUUUUCGGAGACGGCCCUCACAGUGCCAAACCUCUAGGAGAUCAGCAAUGGUGUCUCUCUCUGCAGUCAUCCUUUUAUCUCUCUAUAUUGGUGAAACCUUGGAGGAUAGUAUAAAAUCUCUGGACUCUGUGAAGCAUGUUGCACAGGGAGGGAGUGCUACUCUCUCGUGCAGUUACAGUGGCUCUGUCAGGACAUUGCAGUGGUAUCGCCAAGGUCUCCAUUCUGAGCCACAGUUCCUUCAGUACAUCACCACAUCAGGGACGAAAUACCCUGAGCACGUUGAAAACCUGUCUGUGAGGGUUCUGAACAACAUCACACGCCUGGAACUGGAGAUCUCCUCAGCUGAAAUGACUGACUCGGCGGUCUACUACUGUGCUCUGCAGCCCACAGUGACAGGAAAUCACACAUCUUUGAACAAAAACCUGAUACUGUAGGUCCCAAAGAAAUCAACAUGAGUAAAAGCAUUACAAGAGUAUUCAAGUAUAA